Molecule: ribosomal RNA, 477 nt
Filed under: uncultured bacterium
Lineage: Bacteria
Also listed under: 1 other name
Description: bacterial SSU rRNA
Rfam family: Bacterial small subunit ribosomal RNA
Source: RNAcentral
UUCGCAAUGCCCGAAAGGGUGACGAAGCGACGCCGCGUGCGGGAAGAAGGCCUUCGGGUUGUAAACCGCUGUCGGGAGUUAGGAAAUGCAAGGAUGUUAAUAGCGUCUUUGCUUGACUAAGGCUCCGGAGGAAGCCACGGCUAACUCUGUGCCAGCAGCCGCGGUAAUACAGAGGCGGCAAGCGUUGUUCGGAAUUAUUGGGCGUAAAGAGCACGUAGGCGGCUGUGUAAGUCGGUUGUGAAAGCCUUCCGCUCAACGGGAGAACGGCAUCCGAUACUGCAUGGCUCGAGUGCGGGAGGGGAGAGUGGAACUUCUGGUGGAGCGGUGAAAUGCGUAGAUAUCAGAAGGAACACCGGCGGCGAAGGCGACUCUCUGGCCCGUAACUGACGCUGAGUGUGCGAAAGCUAGGGGAGCAAACGGGAUUAGAUACCCCGGUAGUCCUAGCCGUAAACGAUGGGCACUAAGUAGAGGGGUUUU